Molecule: ribosomal RNA, 28 nt
Filed under: Candidatus Phytoplasma solani
Lineage: Bacteria; Bacillati; Mycoplasmatota; Mollicutes; Acholeplasmatales; Acholeplasmataceae
Description: partial 23S ribosomal RNA
Source: RNAcentral
AAAUAGGUCACAUCUUAAAAAAGCUCUU